AGGUUCCUUUCGCCGAUAGCUUAUGUUUAAAUCAAGCCAUUUUGCCAAGGCACAGUGUCAUGUAAGGUCCACUGAGAGCCGGUGAAGAAGAGAUCUAAGCUCUAGCUUUUGUAAGGACUUAAAUGGUGGAAAUGAGCAAAAUAUAACAGAAGAAGGAAUGGAUAUUACUGAUGCCAACAAGCCAAAAGACACUUUCCUAAUCCAUAACUAUGAGAAUAUGAUUUCUAAUGUUAGAAUUAAGAUAAUAUACUCCAAAGCAUACGCUAUGGAUAUACAAUACCUUGAGAUCUUAAGAAAAGCCAACAAAGGGGCAAAAGAUGUUUUCUAA
Molecule: non-coding RNA, 328 nt
Organism: Camelina sativa (false flax)
Lineage: Eukaryota; Viridiplantae; Streptophyta; Magnoliopsida; Brassicales; Brassicaceae
Source: RefSeq, a predicted model, not a curated record